RNAcentral lists this ribosomal RNA (407 nucleotides) under uncultured bacterium. Its description in RNAcentral is "partial 16S ribosomal RNA". It matches the Rfam family "Bacterial small subunit ribosomal RNA", at positions 28 to 526 of the family's 1533-position model. The record is from RNAcentral.
GACGAACGCUGGCGGCGUGCCUAAUACAUGCAAGUAGAACGCAGUUGCGAGCGGGUGAGUAACGCGUAGGUAACUGCCGUAUAGUGCGGGAUAACGAUUGGAAACGAUAGCUAAUACCGCCUACUGCGAGAUGGACUUGCGUUGUAAUAGCUAGUUGGUGAGGUAAAGGCUCACCUAGGCGACGAUUCAUAGCCGACCUGAGAGGGGGGUCGGGCACACUGGGAAUGAAGCACGGGCCCGACUCCUACAGGAGGCAGCAGGAGGGAAUCUUCGGCAAUGGACGGAAAUCUGAACGGGCAACUGCGCGGGAAUUGAGAAAGUUUUCGGGACGUAAAACUCUGUUGUUAAGGAAGCGGUAACUAACCAGAAAGGGACGGCUAACUACGUGCCAGCAGCCGCGGUAAUUC